GUAGUCUCGCACAGAUGCAUAUCAAUAAGCGGAGGAAAAGAAACUAACAGGGAUUCCCUCAGUAACGGCGAGUGAAGCGGGAAGAGCUCAAAUUUGAAAUCUUGAAAGGUCACCUUUCACGAAUUGUAGUUUAAAGAAGUGUUUUCUGUUACGAUCGUAAUAUAAGUUCUUUGGAAUAGGACAUCACAGAGGGUGAGAAUCCCGUCUAUGAUUGCGAUUUGUAGCUUUGUGAUUACACUUUCAAAGAGUCGGGUUGUUUGGGAAUGCAGCCCAAAACGGGAGGUAAAUUUCUUCUAAGGCUAAAUAUUGGCGAGAGACCGAUAGCGAACAAGUACCGUGAGGGAAAGAUGAAAAGAACUUUGAAAAGAGAGUUAAAUAGUACGUGAAAUUGUCAAAAGGGAAGCGUUUAACACCAGUGUUGUUUUCUGAAAAUCAACCUCUGUUAGCUUUAUGCAUGUUUGUUUAGACCUAAUCAGCUAUCUUGCAUGUUCUAUUGUUUGCAGUGGUGCACUUUUCAGUUUACAGGUCAACAUCAGUUUUUUUUACCGUAAAAAAGUUAAAGAAAGGUAGCUCAUGGCUCCGGUCGUGAGUGUUAUAGUCUUUUUCCUAUGCGGUAGGAGAGACUGAGGUCUGCAGUGUAGGCUAUUUGGCUAGAUACUCAGGUGCUAUGUGAUACCAUUUCAUAAACAACUUGUUGAUUAUGUUUUGUCUAUUGCAUACUCGCUUGUACUAUCAUACCUACGCUUAGGAUGUUGAGUCGUAGAGCACGCAG
Molecule: ribosomal RNA, 772 nt
Filed under: uncultured Neocallimastigales
Lineage: Eukaryota; Fungi; Neocallimastigomycota; Neocallimastigomycetes; Neocallimastigales
Description: partial large subunit ribosomal RNA
Rfam family: Eukaryotic large subunit ribosomal RNA
Source: RNAcentral